GAUGAACGCUGGCGGCGUGCUUAACACAUGCAAGUCGAACGAAGCACUCUGAUUACUUCGGUUUGAAGAGUGACUGAGUGGCGGACGGGUGAGUAACGCGUGGGUAACCUGCCUCAUACAGGGGGAUAACAGUUAGAAAUGACUGCUAAUACCGCAUAAGCGCACAGUACCGCAUGGUACGGUGUGAAAACUCCGGUGGUAUGAGAUGGACCCGCGUCUGAUUAGCUAGUUGGUGGGGUAACGGCCCACCAAGGCGACGAUCAGUAGCCGACCUGAGAGGGUGACCGGCCACAUUGGGACUGAGACACGGCCCAA
This 315-nucleotide ribosomal RNA is filed under the name uncultured bacterium. Its description in RNAcentral is "bacterial SSU rRNA". It matches the Rfam family "Bacterial small subunit ribosomal RNA", at positions 28 to 334 of the family's 1533-position model. The record is from RNAcentral.